CCACCCCUACGGGGGGCAGCAGUGGGGAAUAUUGCACAAUGGGGGAAACCCUGAUGCAGCGACGCCGCGUGGGUGAAGGAGCGUUUCGGCGCGUAAAGCCCUAUCGGCAGGGAAGAAGAUGACGGUACCUGACCAAGAAGCCCCGGCUAACUACGUGCCAGCAGCCGCGGUAAUACGUAGGGGGCAAGCGUUAUCCGGAUUUACUGGGUGUAAAGGGGGCGCAGACGGCAAUGCAAGCCAGGAGUGAAAGCCCGGGGCCCAACCCCGGGACUGCUCUUGGAACUGCCUGGCUGGGGGACAGGAGG
RNAcentral lists this ribosomal RNA (305 nucleotides) under uncultured bacterium. RNAcentral's name for it is "bacterial SSU rRNA". It matches the Rfam family "Bacterial small subunit ribosomal RNA", at positions 333 to 655 of the family's 1533-position model. The record is from RNAcentral.